RNAcentral lists this ribosomal RNA (430 nucleotides) under uncultured bacterium. RNAcentral describes it as "bacterial SSU rRNA". It matches the Rfam family "Bacterial small subunit ribosomal RNA", at positions 29 to 507 of the family's 1533-position model. The record is from RNAcentral.
AACGAACGCUGGCGGCAUGCCUAACACAUGCAAGUCGAACGAGACCUUCGGGUCUAGUGGCGCACGGGUGCGUAACGCGUGGGAAUCUGCCCUUGGGUUCGGAAUAACAGUUAGAAAUGACUGCUAAUACCGGAUGAUGUCUUCGGACCAAAGAUUUAUCGCCCAAGGAUGAGCCCGCGUAAGAUUAGCUAGUUGGUGAGGUAAUGGCUCACCAAGGCGACGAUCUAGCUGGUCUGAGAGGAUGAUCAGCCACACUGGGACUGAGACACGGCCCAGACUCCUACGGGAGGCAGCAGUGGGGAAUAUUGGACAAUGGGCGCAAGCCUGAUCCAGCCAUGCCGCGUGAGUGAUGAAGGCCUUAGGGUGUAAAGCUCUUUCGUCAGGGAAGAUAAUGACGGUACCUGAAGAAGAAGCCCCGGCUAACUUCGUG